AGUGAACGCUGGCGGUAGGCCUAACACAUGCGAGUCGAACGGCAGCACAGUAAGAGCUUGCUCUUACGGGUGGCGAGUGGCGGACGGGUGAGGAAUACAUCGGAAUCUACUUUUUCGUGGGGGAUAACGUAGGGAAACUUACGCUAAUACCGCAUACGACCUACGGGUGAAAGCAGGGGAUCUUCGGACCUUGCGCGAAUGAAUGAGCCGAUGUCGGAUUAGCUAGUUGGCGGGGUAAAGGCCCACCAAGGCGACGAUCCGUAGCUGGUCUGAGAGGAUGAUCAGCCACACUGGAACUGAGACACGGUCCAGACUCCUACGGGAGGCAGCAGUGGGGAAUAUUGGACAAUGGGCGCAAGCCUGAUCCAGCCAUACCGCGUGGGUGAAGAAGGCCUUCGGGUUGUAAAGCCCUUUUGUUGGGAAAGAAAAGCAGCAGGUUAAUACCCCGCUGUUCUGACGGUACCCAAAGAAUAAGCACCGGCUAACUUCGUG
This 492-nucleotide ribosomal RNA is filed under the name uncultured bacterium. RNAcentral describes it as "partial 16S ribosomal RNA". It matches the Rfam family "Bacterial small subunit ribosomal RNA", at positions 29 to 507 of the family's 1533-position model. The record is from RNAcentral.